RNAcentral lists this ribosomal RNA (409 nucleotides) under bacterium. RNAcentral's name for it is "partial 16S ribosomal RNA". It matches the Rfam family "Bacterial small subunit ribosomal RNA", at positions 355 to 776 of the family's 1533-position model. The record is from RNAcentral.
UGGGGAAUAUUGCACAAUGGGCGAAAGCCUGAUGCAGCGACGCCGCGUGAGGGAUGACGGCCUUCGGGUUGUAAACCUCUUUCAGCAGGGACGAAGCGCAAGUGACGGUACCUGCAGAAGAAGCACCGGCUAACUACGUGCCAGCAGCCGCGGUAAUACGUAGGGUGCAAGCGUUGUCCGGAAUUACUGGGCGUAAAGAGUUCGUAGGCGGUUUGUCGCGUCGUUUGUGAAAACCAGCAGCUCAACUGCUGGCUUGCAGGCGAUACGGGCAGACUUGAGUACUGCAGGGGAGACUGGAAUUCCUGGUGUAGCGGUGAAAUGCGCAGAUAUCAGGAGGAAGACCGGUGGCGAAGGCGGGUCUCUGGGCAGUAACUGACGCUGAGGAACGAAAGCGUGGGUAGCGAACAGG